Molecule: unclassified non-coding RNA, 412 nt
Filed under: Asterolasia pallida
Lineage: Eukaryota; Viridiplantae; Streptophyta; Magnoliopsida; Sapindales; Rutaceae
Description: partial external transcribed spacer
Source: RNAcentral
GUGCAUCGAACUGCUGGCUCCCCAUCCGCUUCAGUCUUGCUCCAAGUGAAGCUUCUUCCUUGCGGGUGCGUAUGGUAUCCUGUGUUGCUUACCCAUGAAAUGGAAUUCGUUGGUUUUGUUAUGUUGUUCCGUCAUAAGCCCUUUGGGGUGUGGGAUGGACAUGAGGCGGGCUCUGUAUUCGUGAUGUGUCAAGCGUGUUAUCGCUUGAUCAUUAUGGUGUAUGGAGUCUUGGCCUGUUUUCUCGGAUAUGGAAUGCUAUGCGUGGGCAUGAGGUCUCGGCCUCAAUUACUCCAAGCUUGUCCCUUUACUUGAACGAUUGCCAUGCUCGUCUUGAUCUUCCCGACCAAGGCCUCGUAAUGGGGUUUACUGGACGAGGGUUGCUCAUACGGGUUAUGGCAUCGAAGAGGAAUGU